Molecule: long non-coding RNA, 1084 nt
Organism: Acyrthosiphon pisum (pea aphid)
Lineage: Eukaryota; Metazoa; Arthropoda; Insecta; Hemiptera; Aphididae
Exons: 4
Source: RefSeq, a predicted model, not a curated record
AUUUAUCAAUCACAAUUUAUUAUUCGUGAACAAUCUAUUUUUAUACUACGUACUGGUACCAUCGCGGAUUGUCUCGUCCACGGAAGAAUGUGGUCUCGUCAUUAAAUAUCAAUAUAAUAUGAUAAUAUCAAUUAACAAUCUAAAAUUGGUAAUCCGUAUAAAACAACGUAUCUAUAAACAACUGUAUCUAUAAUCUAUGUCUAUCGCCGCCAUAUUAUUUACUCGUCGUUGUUCGUAAUUCGUAUGCUGUACAUUUCGGAUCGUCAUUUUCCUUUUCAUCGCGGUGUGCGUCGUUCGUCGUUCUCGACUUUUGUUUCGCGUCCCGUUCUGUGUAAACAACACAAACCACGCCAUCAUUUUGCAAUUCUUCCGAGUCCUGUGUCGUCGGAUACCGAUUACCGAUUAUUUUCAUCGUGCAGCCGUCGCCGACGUAGUUCGUUAUUAGAUACAGUCAAAAUUAUUUAUUUUGGCGUCGAUCGUCGGCCAUCGCUCUUGUACUUUUUGUUUCGACUUUCGAGUACCGUUCUGUUUAAACAACAAACAACGCGUAGACGACAUUUUUUUUCAAUUUUUUUUUUUGUUAUUGUUUUUCAAUUUUAACUUAACAGUUUUAAAAUUUAUAUUGAUACGAAGUUGACAAGUGAAGGUAACGCGCGGGUAUGAGUACAGUAUUGCGAGUUGCGACUAUAAUCCAUAUUAUUCUUUUAUUCAAAUAUUGAUGACUGAUGAGUGGCUAAGUUUUCGACAAGUGGAUACCUAAUUGUCACCGUCUCAAGAGUCAAGACUUAUUAUACCUAUCAAGUUUUCAGUUGACACCGAGGGGCUGUUGAGGACCUACCAAUUUCAGUUAUAUAUGUUGUAGUAUUGUUCUUGGGGCUGAAGGCACAUUAUCUUUCAAAAGGAAACUUACAUUUGGAGUUGAUAAUUUAAAAAAAAAAGCUAAUCCACUGAAAAAUAUUAGUCGUCAUAUAGGUUCUCUCAAAAGUCCAGAUGCUGAAAAAUCUACAUUGUUAAAAAGAAACAAUUUUGAUGAAAAAAACCACACAGAGAUCAUCAUCCUCGCAUCUUAUGAUUAAUUCAGAUG